RNAcentral lists this long non-coding RNA (563 nucleotides) under Fukomys damarensis (Damara mole-rat). RNAcentral describes it as "lncRNA (ENSFDAG00000022146.1)". The record is from RNAcentral. Lineage: Eukaryota; Metazoa; Chordata; Mammalia; Rodentia; Bathyergidae.
UGAGUUAACUUGGCAAGUAUUCACUGCACUGUGAGCGAAGAGGGAGCACCUGCGUACAUGGCCUGGAGCCUCAGUUGUGCUUCUUCCCUGUCCAGGCAGCUGUUCUGUGACUUUGGAGAGGAAAUGAUUGUCAGAGAUUCCACUGGGGAAGAGCCACUGAGCGCUGUGAUUUCCGUGGUCACCAAGGACUGCCCUGGAGUUGUCACCUGCCUGGAGGAAGCCCAGCAUGGGUUUGAGAGCGGCGAUUUUGUCUCCUUCUCGCAAGUCCAGGGCAUGAGUGAACUCAAUGACAUGCGGCCCAUAGAGAUCCAAGUCCUAGGUAUACCAGGGCUGGGGGUGGUGAGAAAUGGUUGGCCAGAGCAGACGGAAAGUGAUUGGUGGGUGAGGCUUGUCCCAGGUGCGCAUUUCUGUGGUCUGAGCCGAAUUGGAGGCCAGAAGAGAGGUGGGACUGCAAUCUGAGCUGGGGUGCAGGAGAGACGGGCACGGGGUCUGACUGCAAAUACGUUGCCCAGAAAGAUGAAGGAAGAAGAACUUUAUGGUACUAGUGUUUUCCAUUUCCUUUG